Molecule: non-coding RNA, 98 nt
Organism: Acanthosepion pharaonis
Lineage: Eukaryota; Metazoa; Mollusca; Cephalopoda; Sepiida; Sepiidae
Source: the annotation of a GenBank genome assembly
CAUUGAAACACCUGUUCUCGUCCGGUUACCGAAGUUAAGCAACGUUGAGCCUGGUUAGUACAUAGAUGGGUGACCACUUGGGAAUACCAGGUGCUGUA